Molecule: ribosomal RNA, 199 nt
Filed under: uncultured bacterium
Lineage: Bacteria
Description: partial 16S ribosomal RNA
Rfam family: Bacterial small subunit ribosomal RNA
Source: RNAcentral
AGGCUGAAAUUCGCCUUCAUGAAGCCGGAAUUGCUAGUAAUGGCAGGUCAGCAUACUGCCGUGAAUACGUUCCCGGGCCUUGUACACACCGCCCGUCACACCAUGAGAGUUGGGAAUACCCGAAGCCUGUGAGCUAACUGUAAAGAGGCAGCAGUCGAAGGUAGAAUCAAUGAUUGGGGUGAAGUCGUAACAAGGUACC